This 445-nucleotide ribosomal RNA is filed under the name uncultured bacterium. RNAcentral's name for it is "partial 16S ribosomal RNA". It matches the Rfam family "Bacterial small subunit ribosomal RNA", at positions 354 to 796 of the family's 1533-position model. The record is from RNAcentral.
GUGAGGAAUAUUGGUCAAUGGGCGGGAGCCUGAACCAGCCAAGUCGCGUGAAGGAAGAAGGAUCUAUGGUUCGUAAACUUCUUUUGCAGGGGAAUAAAGUGCAGGACGUGUCCUGUUUUGUAUGUACCCUGAGAAUAAGGAUCGGCUAACUCCGUGCCAGCAGCCGCGGUAAUACGGAGGAUCCGAGCGUUAUCCGGAUUUAUUGGGUUUAAAGGGUGCGUAGGUGGUUUGAUAAGUCAGCGGUGAAAGUUUGCAGCUUAACUGUAAAAAUGCCGUUGAAACUGUCGGACUUGAGUGUAAAUGAGGUAGGUGGAAUGCGUGGUGUAGCGGUGAAAUGCAUAGAUAUCACGCAGAACUCCGAUUGCGAAGGCAGCUUACUAAGCUACAACUGACACUGAAGCACGAAAGCGUGGGGAUCAAACAGGAUUAGAAACCCGAGUAGUCC